RNAcentral lists this ribosomal RNA (1339 nucleotides) under uncultured bacterium. RNAcentral describes it as "partial 16S ribosomal RNA". It matches the Rfam family "Bacterial small subunit ribosomal RNA", at positions 41 to 1379 of the family's 1533-position model. The record is from RNAcentral.
GGCGUGCCUAAUACAUGCAAGUCGAGCGAAUCAGAUGGGAGCUUGCUCCCGGAUGAUUAGCGGCGGACGGGUGAGUAACACGUGGGCAACCUGCCCGUAAGAUUGGGAUAACUCCGGGAAACCGGUGCUAAUACCGAAUAGUUUCUGACACCUCAUGGUGUCAGAGGGAAAGUUGGCUUCGGCUAACACUUACGGAUGGGCCCGCGGCGCAUUAGCUAGUUGGUGAGGUAACGGCUCACCAAGGCGACGAUGCGUAGCCGACCUGAGAGGGUGAUCGGCCACACUGGGACUGAGACACGGCCCAGACUCCUACGGGAGGCAGCAGUAGGGAAUCUUCCGCAAUGGACGAAAGCCUGAUGCAGCGACGCCGCGUGAGGGAUGACGGCCUUCGGGCUGUAAACCUCUUUCAGCAGGGACGAAGCGCAAGUGACGGUACCUGCAGAAGAAGCACCGGCCCAACUACGUGCCAGCAGCCGCGGUAAUACGUAGGGUGCGAGCGUUGUCCGGAAUUUACUGGGGCGUAAAAAACUCGUAGGCGGUUUGUCCCGUCCUCCGUGAAAUCCCGCAGCUCAACUGCGGGCUUGCAGGCGAUACGGGCAGACUCGAGUACUGCAGGGGAGACUGGAAUUCCUGGUGUAGCGGUGAAAUGCGCAGAUAUCAGGAGGAACACCGGUGGCGAAGGCGGGUCUCUGGGCAGUAACUGACGCUGAGGAGCGAAAGCGUGGGUAGCGAACAGGAUUAGAUACCCUGGUAGUCCACGCCGUAAACGGUGGGCGCUAGGUGUGGGUUUCCUUCCACGGGAUCCGUGCCGUAGCCAACGCAUUAAGCGCCCCGCCUGGGGAGUACGGCCGCAAGGCUAAAACUCAAAGGAAUUGACGGGGGCCCGCACAAGCGGCGGAGCAUGUGGAUUAAUUCGAUGCAACGCGAAGAACCUUACCUGGGUUUGACAUAUACCGGACGACUGCAGAGAUGUGGUUUCCCUUGUGGUCGGUAUACAGGUGGUGCAUGGUUGUCGUCAGCUCGUGUCGUGAGAUGUUGGGUUAAGUCCCGCAACGAGCGCAACCCCUAUCGUUAGUUGCUAGCAGGUAAUGCUGAGAACUCUAGCGAGACUGCCGGUGAUAAAUCGGAGGAAGGUGGGGAUGACGUCAAAUCAUCAUGCCCUUUAUGUCCUGGGCUACACACGUACUACAAUGGCCGUAACAGAGGGAAGCAAUAUAGUGAUAUGGAGCAAAACCCUAAAAGCGGUCUCAGUUCGGAUUGAAGGCUGAAAUUCGCCUUCAUGAAGCUGGAAUUGCUAGUAAUGGAAGGUCAGCAUACUGCCGUGAAUACGUUCCCGGGC